Molecule: ribosomal RNA, 460 nt
Filed under: uncultured Proteiniphilum sp.
Lineage: Bacteria; Pseudomonadati; Bacteroidota; Bacteroidia; Bacteroidales; Dysgonomonadaceae
Description: bacterial SSU rRNA
Rfam family: Bacterial small subunit ribosomal RNA
Source: RNAcentral
CCUACGGGGGGCUGCAGUGAGGAAUAUUGGUCAAUGGAGGCAACUCUGAACCAGCCACGUCGCGUGAAGGAAGACGGCCCUACGGGUUGUAAACUUCUUUUGUAAGGGAAUAAAGUGAGUCACGUGUGACUUUUUGCAUGUACCUUACGAAUAAGGAUCGGCUAACUCCGUGCCAGCAGCCGCGGUAAUACGGAGGAUCCGAGCGUUAUCCGGAUUUAUUGGGUUUAAAGGGUGCGCAGGCGGGAGACUAAGUCGGUGGUGAAAUCUUGCAGCUCAACUGUAAGCGUGCCAUUGAUACUGGUUUUCUUGAGUGUGGAUGAGGUAGGCGGAAUUUGUGGUGUAGCGGUGAAAUGCAUAGAUAUCACGAGGAACUCCGAUUGCGUAGGCAGCUUACUAAACCAUAACUGACGCUCAUGCACGAAGGCGUGGGGAUCAAACAGGAUUAGAUACCCCAGUAGUC